This 774-nucleotide unclassified non-coding RNA is filed under the name Hevea brasiliensis (rubber tree). Lineage: Eukaryota; Viridiplantae; Streptophyta; Magnoliopsida; Malpighiales; Euphorbiaceae. The record is from RNAcentral.
AGAGAGAGAGAGAGAGAGAAUCAAACCAGAAAUAGUGAGGGAGAAAGAGAAUAAAGAGAGAUGGACGACUAGGCGAGAGAGAGAAUAAGAAGGAGAGAAAAUAUACUCCAAAAUCCAAAUGUCUUUUUUCUUUUCCUGAUGGUUACAACAUCAUUAACUGUAACCUUGAUGCCUGCCACAUCACCACUUGUAACUGGGAAACCUUAAGUAGUGGUCUUACUGUUAACCCAAUUAAAGUUGGUAAAGUUUUAAGAUACAAACUGAAAUUCAAGUAUAAGAGAGUGAAAUUAACACCAACUAUUAGGAACAAGAAAACAAGGCAUUGGGAAGGGAACAUUAAAACAAGGAUACCUUUCCUUUCACUAUAAGUUGCAGACAACUUAAGUUCCUCAUGGAAUCACCAUAAUCAUUAUCUCUUCCAAACAUAACAUUAAAAUAUUUCAAUAGUACAAUUAGAACAUGAUGUGACUAAUAAUUCCUUUUCUAACUCCAUUCACCAUAGUCCAAAAACCACCAUUGCUUUAGGUUUUUGACCUCUUACUCAUAUUUCUAAGGGUCACAGGCUCUCUUUAAGAUAUCACUAUUAACUUUUCAGGUAAUUUAAAUAUAUUUUCACCUUCCACAAAUACAUGCUAUUUGUUAGAUUGAUUUAUCAAUUAUCAUCAGCUCAGUGGGUUCAUUAAAGCAGUAAAAUUGUACCAUUUGCUGGCUUCAUUCCACUAACCUCAUCUAUAUUUUAGCAGUGAAACCCACGUUCCCAAGUAUUGCAAAGUA